RNAcentral lists this ribosomal RNA (301 nucleotides) under uncultured bacterium. RNAcentral's name for it is "partial 16S ribosomal RNA". It matches the Rfam family "Bacterial small subunit ribosomal RNA", at positions 509 to 807 of the family's 1533-position model. The record is from RNAcentral.
CAGUAGCCGCGGUAAUGCGGAGGGGGCUAGCGUUAUUCGGAAUUACUGGGCGUAAAGCGCACGUAGGCGGAUCAGAAAGUCAGAGGCGAAAUCCCAGGGCUCAACCUUGGAACUGCCUUUGAAACUCCUGAUCUUGAGGUCGAGAGAGGUGAGUGGAAUUCCGAGUGUAGAGGUGAAAUUCGUAGAUAUUCGGAGGAACACCAGUGGCGAAGGCGGCUCACUGGCUCGAUACUGACGCUGAGGUGCGAAAGCGUGGGGAGCAAACAGGAUUAGAUACCCCUGUAGUCCCUGUCUCUUAUAC